AUGUACGCAUACCAUGAAACCCAUCGGGCACAUGAUCUAUCCUUUUGAUGGUGCUCAUGUUGUUCAUCUAAGCUCAAACUUGUGAUACGUAGUUGUGUACUACUCCACUGUAGAAAUCUCAAGAUACUGCAGAAUGGUAGCAUGGAUACGAUCACCCUGCAAAGAGCAAACAAUAUGUUUUAAGGAGGAACAGAAACUAACAUUUUAACAGUUAUAAGUAUACCAGAGCACAUUGACAUUUGAGCUGGAAAAAAGAGUAAUUCUAGAAAAACAUAAAUGGCCUCAAACGUAACGCAAAAUAACCAAUACCGUAUUCAGUUAUGAUGUUUUUAGAGGCAUCAUACCGAAUAAUAUUAACCCUCUUCCUUUAAGCAACAAUCAAAUAAAAAGAUAGCCUCUUCUUUAACCAUUCAUACAAAACAUAGAUUGUUUGUUUCGUCCAGAAAAUAAAGGAAACCCAAACUUAGGAUAAAUAUAAGAUAUAAGGAGGCCAUGAAAAACAACAUGCUGCAUUAACAAGUUUAACCCUUCUGGAAUGUUUUGUUCUUGACCUGUUAUUCACAAUUAUGUUCAUUAAUUCUUAACAAGCCAAGACUGACGCGAAUCUAUUAUUCAUGAUUAUGUUCAUUAAUUCCAAACGGACCAAGACUGACGCCAACAAUAACAAAAAACUUUAAGUAUGACGUACCAUAAAACAUAGAAGACACUAUAUAUAAUAGAUCAUCAGUUUUCUAACCCCGCCCGUUGUGUCAUCGCCUCUAAUACUAAUUACCUAGACCACACCAAGGGCAUUUCGAAGAUCUAAAUAUCAAAUCAAUUUCUGGACAGAAAAAAUAUCUAGCUCAAAUAGAAAUGAGUAUACCAAAUAGCUGGGUAUGAGCUUGUAGUGAGAACAUCAUGAGUGUCUGAACUUAGUGCUGCCAUCAAGUUCAAAACUCAACGAUCAUAUAGGAGAUCGAUGGACAGAACUAAACCACAAAUUUUUCCAUGAAUGUGUAAACAUGAACUAAACCAGGUAUGGGUUAUUAAAAAUGGAACAAUUGGAGCAGAACAUUUGCAAGAAGCAAACCAAAUUAAGCCACCUAUAGUGAUAAGCCCAUGUGCUAAAUCAAAAGGAAACCAUACCUACUAUAUAAUACACUUUUGAACUAAACAAGGUCUAGGUUAUUAAAAAUGGAACAAUGGGAGCAGAACAUUUGCAAGAAGCAAACCAAAUUGAGCCACCUACACUGAUAAGCCCAUGUGGUAAAUCAAAAGGAAACCAUACCUACUAUAUAAUACACUAAUAAAGACAACAAUAAUAUAAACAAGAAGCAUAGACCACCAGACCUCAAGUGCAGCCGUAAAAACUCAUUAUCGUUGUCGUCAGCAAACGCAAACAUGGAUCCACCAGUCAUUACUUUUGUCAUUCAGCUUUCGCAAUAUCAGAAACCACAAAGAGAACCUC
This 1447-nucleotide long non-coding RNA is filed under the name Triticum aestivum (bread wheat). RNAcentral describes it as "long non-coding RNA (TAES_LNC025846)". The record is from RNAcentral. Lineage: Eukaryota; Viridiplantae; Streptophyta; Magnoliopsida; Poales; Poaceae.